UCUUUCCUCUUUGCUCCUCACUCUUCUUUCUCCUGCUGCCUUGUGAAGAAGGUGCCUUCUUUCCCUUCUGCCGUGAUUGCAAGUUUCCCGAGGCCUCCCCAGCCACACGGAACUGUCAGUCUUCCAGGUCAUCAUUGGAAAGCUCUCCAGCCUCAAUGCCAACAAGCUCGGAGGAAACACAAAUCAGGACACAGAGCAACAUGAGUGGGUGCUGGCAGUAAAGUGUUGUGGAGGCCAUGCUGCUGGAGGACAAGGAACAGAGGCAGCAUCGAGGCACCAGGGUGAGAGCCGAAGGAUGAUUGAGCUGGCCCAGCCUCACCACUCUGAUUGCAAGAAUGAGUCUGUGACUGAGACCCGGCCCAUCAGAGUAAAGCAUCCGCUGGUAACACAAGUAAUUUAGGAAUGUCCACAUAACCCAAACCACACAAACUGGAAGCCCUCUCUAAGCAUUUUCUGCUGGAACUAAGAACAAAGAGUUUUUUUAACUCUUGCAUGUAGU
This 499-nucleotide long non-coding RNA is filed under the name Homo sapiens (human). Its description in RNAcentral is "HSALNT0144358". The record is from RNAcentral. Lineage: Eukaryota; Metazoa; Chordata; Mammalia; Primates; Hominidae.